UUAAUUCCAAGAAAGAGUUUAGGGUGGAAGUGGAGGCCAUUGGCCAUGUUGGGCAUAAGAAUCUUUGUUCAGCUUCUUGAUUAUUGCAUUGAAGGGGUUCACAGGAUGUUGGUGUACGAGCAAGUAUGUAAAGAGACAGCAAUGCAUCUUGCUGAAAGUUCUACUCGGGACUGCAAAGGCUUGCUUAUCUUCGUGAGUCUAUAGAACCAAAAGUCGUCUGGUGGCUUGGUAUUGGGGGUGACUCGUGACCACGAGAUUAUGGAUUCAAAUCUUUGACGUCUCUGAGUCUUACUUGUCACACAUGAUUCGCUUAGCGUGACUUGUCUUAUCGGAUUUAGUUUGUAGACUAUCUGGUUUGGCCGGGUUACCCAGAGCGUACUCGAAGAGUAACGGGUACGGGUAUAAAAGAAAUAUCGUCCAUCGCGAUAUAAAA
This is a long non-coding RNA of Andrographis paniculata, 433 nucleotides long. RefSeq lists it as uncharacterized. NCBI's taxonomy places the organism in Eukaryota, Viridiplantae, Streptophyta, Magnoliopsida, Lamiales, Acanthaceae. The transcript is spliced from 3 exons. The record is from RefSeq and is a predicted model, not a curated record.